Non-coding RNA from Anas platyrhynchos (mallard), 2124 nucleotides. The record is from RefSeq and is a predicted model, not a curated record. Lineage: Eukaryota; Metazoa; Chordata; Aves; Anseriformes; Anatidae.
GCGCCCCUGGGCUCCGCCAUCACGGGUGGGCUGCGAGGGGCAGCGUGAGGGGCGUCCCCGCUUCCCCCCUGUACCCAAGUGUUAAAAUGCCCAGGACGAGGUUCAGCAGUACAGGGGAAGAGCCUGCUGGCUUUUUCCUCGAGAUCUGCUUGACAGCCGUGUGGUAGCGCAGUGGGGGAUGCUGUGGCAGCUCCCUCAGGUGUCGUGCUGCAGCGCUACCAACUACAACAGGUGGUUGAAGUUAAAGUUUAAAAGCUUCACCGUAUGUCAGAAAGCUUCUCGUGUAAAUCGUCUCCUGCGUUGCUUAUGAUCAGGCUCGCCUCAUCUUCUUAAUUGCUUAUGGCCAACCCUUAGGCUAGCACAUUUGAACAGACAUCUAAAGCUGGCCGGCCCUUGAUUCCAAGAGGGAAUGCCAGAAGUACCACAGAGGAACCUGACUCUGAACAGCAGCAACAACAAAACAGCUUUCCACAUCCUUCCAUGGGCAAAAGGAGAAUCUGAAAGUUCCUGUACAACAUCCCUGUGAUGCCAAAAGUAAGAAGCAGAGGUGAUGCCUCAGCCUGACUGUAGCAGGAGAAGCAAAGAAUACAAGAGGAGGCAUGAGUAUGGAGGAAUCAUGAACACUGCCAAAACAGAUGCACAGUGAAGUAUCACCAUAAAGUUAACAGAAGGAAGGAGAAAUGUAAAGGCUGCGCUGGUACUGUGAUGCCCACAGAGGGGAGAAAUCUGGAGCUGUACUCCUGACAGCAAGCAGCGGGCAGAAGGGACAGGACUGUGGCAGCCCUGUACAGAGGUGAGCAAGUAGAUGGCUGGAGAGGACCGGCACAACUGUACCUAGCUGUGAGUAACGAAGGCUGAAGCAAGCUCCUGGUGUUUGUUUGAACUGCAGCAGUCCUACAGAAAACUACAGCAGAAGUACAGAAAUCCAGUCGUUCACGAAUGGCCCCACCAUCUUAUCUGGGUACCUGCUGCACCGUCAGCUGUGGAUGCCAGCAGGAACUGAGACUGCUCUUUGAUUCAGCGAUAAUGAGUGAACAUUGCACCAACGACAUUUACAUUUCGCCGGUGGUAUGAAAAAACACGAGACUGUUCUUCUGAGUUCAGAGUUAGGCCCCCAAUGCACGCUGAUUUCCUGAAGCUGGAGCACUCCGAGGCUGCUAUUGAUGUGAACGAACAUCUUGGCAAUUUAGCAAAAGAUGACAUCAGGCAUGAAAGGUGAAAUCAAAUUUUCAUAAGUUUCUGCCAUAUCUGCUUCAUUGGGAAGCUCUGGAAAUAUAUUAGGAGCACGGUUGCAAGGUCUUUGUGGAGGCACUGUGCUGCCGCAUACCGUGUCAAACUAUUAUCCAGGCUUCCUGCUGACUGACGCUGCUGGAGAAGGCUGAACUUUGGCUUCGGGGGAGGCAGCGAGAGGCAAUUUGGUCUGAACAUCGCGUCGCUGCCAGGAAGGAGGCUGCGGUUUUCAUCUCUGAGGCCACCGACAGGGGCUGUGGCGGUUCAGGCAGGGGCUGGAAGUCACCUGGAGACCUUGGGCAUCUCAAUGACUGUGCGCCUUAUCCCAAGAGAGCACCGCACAGAGCUGACGUGAAGUUUGCAUAAUUAACGCUGCAUCAAAUCUCUUGCUAUGGGAACCGAGGAAAAGCCACGCGAGGUGUGGGCAUGGGCUGCCCUCCUUGCUCCUUCUCUCGAAGCCGCCUUGCCCAGGUCUGCCCAAAAUCUUCCACACCACAGCCACCGAGCGUGAAAACAACUGCUGGCAGGAGUGAGCCCGCACCAGGCCCCACGGCGAUAUCACUUUCAUCAUCUGUGGAGUCGGUACAGCUGGAGAGAAAGCAAUCCUCCUUUGUCUCGGACCGAAGCCUUCUGCUUGAGAAGAGCCGUGCUGCUCCCCCCGAGCCCAGGCUGUGCCUUCCUGCCUCGCCUCCCUGCUCCAGGGAAAGCCCCCGCCACACCGCGUCCCCAGCGCCCAGACGGCAGGUAAUGAUGCGCGGAUGUGCAAUGAAAUUUCAGAAAUGCGCACUGACUUUUUAGAGAUAUGCCAACCGGCAAAGAAAAUGAAAAAAAAUGAAGUCUAACAUAAAAUAAUUUAAAAAAAAAAAAAGGGUUCUGGUGAGGCCGCACCUCGAG